Molecule: ribosomal RNA, 454 nt
Filed under: uncultured bacterium
Lineage: Bacteria
Description: partial 16S ribosomal RNA
Rfam family: Bacterial small subunit ribosomal RNA
Source: RNAcentral
GAUGAACGCUGACAGAAUGCUUAACACAUGCAAGUCUACUUGAACUUCGGUUUGGGUGGCGGACGGGUGAGUAACGCGUAAAGAACUUGCCUCACAGUUAGGGACAACAUUUGGAAACGAAUGCUAAUACCUGAUAUUAUGAUUUUAGGGCAUCCUAGGAUUAUGAAAGCUAUAUGUGCUGUGAGAGAGCUUUGCGUCCCAUUAGCUAGUUGGAGAGGUAACGGCUCACCAAGGCGAUGAUGGGUAGCCGGCCUGAGAGGGUGAACGGCCACAAGGGGACUGAGACACGGCCCUUACUCCUACGGGAGGCAGCAGUGGGGAAUAUUGGACAAUGGACCAAAAGUCUGAUCCAGCAAUUCUGUGUGCACGAUGACGCUUUUCGGAAUGUAAAGUGCUUUCAGUUGGGAAGAAAAAAAUGACGGUACCAACAGAAGAAGUGACGGCUAAAUACGUG